This 346-nucleotide ribosomal RNA is filed under the name uncultured fungus. RNAcentral's name for it is "SSU rRNA". It matches the Rfam family "Eukaryotic small subunit ribosomal RNA", at positions 20 to 370 of the family's 1831-position model. The record is from RNAcentral. Lineage: Eukaryota; Fungi.
GUAGUCAUAUGCUUGUCUCAAAGAUUAAGCCAUGCAUGUCUAAGUAUAAGCAAUCUAUACAGUGAAACUGCGAAUGGCUCAUUAAAUCAGUUAUCGUUUAUUUGAUAGUAACUCACUACUUGGAUAACCGUGGUAAUUCUAGAGCUAAUACAUGCUAAAAGCCCUGACCUCUGGAAGGGGCGUAUUUAUUCGAUAAAAAACCAAUGGCUUCGGCCUCCUUGGUGAUUCAUGAUAACUUUACGAAUCGCAUGGCCUUGUGCCGGCGAUGGUUCAUUCAAAUUUCUGCCCUAUCAACUUUCGAUGGUAGGAUAGUGGCCUACCAUGGUUUCAACGGGUAACGGGGAAU